Molecule: long non-coding RNA, 235 nt
Organism: Leopardus geoffroyi (Geoffroy's cat)
Lineage: Eukaryota; Metazoa; Chordata; Mammalia; Carnivora; Felidae
Exons: 3
Source: RefSeq, a predicted model, not a curated record
CCGUUGGGAGACAUUCAUACCCAGCUCCCAACUAGUGAUUUUGUAAUGGAAUAAUCGUGAGUCUGCUCCUUGGUGGAGACUUUCACAUUAUAAUGGAACAGAAGUAACUGUUGGACAAGGGGAAGGUCAUUUCCUGCCAACCUGGCUUGCACAGGACCAUCCCAUCUAUCAGCUAUGCUGCUAUAUGUUUGAAACUGCUGCAUGUUUGAACUUCUCAGUCGAGAACACAGAAUGA